GCGGUUAUAAAUCAACAUAUUGAUUUAUAAGCAUGGAAAUCCCCUGAGUGAAACAACGAAUUGCUGUGUGUAGUCUUUGCCCAUCUCCCACGAUGGGCUUUUUUUUAA
RNAcentral lists this non-coding RNA (108 nucleotides) under Escherichia coli. RNAcentral's name for it is "antisense sRNA RprA". It matches the Rfam family "RprA RNA". From Rfam's summary of the family: Translational regulation of the stationary phase sigma factor RpoS is mediated by the formation of a double-stranded RNA stem-loop structure in the upstream region of the rpoS messenger RNA, occluding the translation initiation site. Clones carrying rprA (RpoS regulator RNA A) increased the translation of RpoS. The rprA gene encodes a 106 nucleotide regulatory RNA. The record is from RNAcentral. Lineage: Bacteria; Pseudomonadati; Pseudomonadota; Gammaproteobacteria; Enterobacterales; Enterobacteriaceae.